Molecule: unclassified non-coding RNA, 206 nt
Filed under: uncultured Sebacina
Lineage: Eukaryota; Fungi; Basidiomycota; Agaricomycetes; Sebacinales; Sebacinaceae
Description: sequence contains ITS2
Source: RNAcentral
UGUACUCUCACACUCUCUGAUCCUUUGGAUUCAGGGAGCGGUGGACUUGGGUGUUGCUGCUUUUCCUUGUGGCUCACCUCAAAUGUGUUAGUGCACCUCUUGGUUGGACAUAGAACGGCGUGAUAAGUGUCUUCGCCGGCACCUCGCAAGAGGGUGGCCAAUUGGGAGCUCUGUGCUUUCAAACCGUCUUCGGACAAUCUCUGACA